GNNNAUCUUGCGCAUGGGCGAAGCCUGNCGCAGCAACGCCGCGUGGGGGAUGAAGCCCUUCGGGGUGUAAACUCCUUUCGACCCGGACGAAUGCCCGCAAGGGCUUGACGGUACGGGUAUAAGAAGCCCCGGCUAACUACGUGCCAGCAGCCGCGGUAAAACGUAGGGGGCCAGCGUUGCUCGGAAUUACNUGGGCGUAAAGGGUCCGUAGGCGGUGUGACAAGUCGGUAGUGAAAUCUCCGGGCUUAACUCGGAGGCUGCUGCCGAAACUGUUGUGCUAGAGUGCGAGAGAGGCGAGUGGAAUUGCGGGUGUAGCGGUGAAAUGCGUAGAUAUCCGCAGGAACAUCCGAGGCGAAAGCGGCUCGCUGGAUCGCAACUGACGCUGAGGGACGAAAGCUAGGGGAGCAAACAGGAUUAGAUACCCUGGUAGUCCUAGCCCUAAACCAUCAGGACUUGGGGUUUGCCCUGUACGGGGCAAGUCCCGGAGCUAACGCGAUAAGCAAUCCGCCUGGGGAGUACGGUCGCAAGACUGAAACUCAAAGAAAUUGACGGA
RNAcentral lists this ribosomal RNA (553 nucleotides) under uncultured bacterium. Its description in RNAcentral is "bacterial SSU rRNA". It matches the Rfam family "Bacterial small subunit ribosomal RNA", at positions 357 to 917 of the family's 1533-position model. The record is from RNAcentral.